Molecule: ribosomal RNA, 504 nt
Filed under: uncultured bacterium
Lineage: Bacteria
Description: partial 16S ribosomal RNA
Rfam family: Bacterial small subunit ribosomal RNA
Source: RNAcentral
AUUGAACGCUAGCGGCAUGCCUAACACAUGCAAGUCGAACGGCAGCACGGGGAGCUUGCUCUCUGGUGGCGAGUGGCGAACGGGUGAGUAACGCGUAGGAAUCUGCCUAGUAGUGGGGGACAACUCGAGGAAACUCGAGCUAAUACCGCAUAAUCUCUACGGAGCAAAGUGGGGGACCUUCGGGCCUCACGCUAUUAGAUGAGCCUGCGUCAGAUUAGAUUGUUGGUGGGGUAAUGGCCUACCAAGUCGACGAUCUGUAGCUGGUCUGAGAGGAUGACCAGCCACACUGGGACUGAGACACGGCCCAGACUCCUACGGGAGGCAGCAGUGGGGAAUAUUGGACAAUGGGCGAAAGCCUGAUCCAGCAAUGCCGCGUGUGUGAAGAAGGCCUUAGGGUUGUAAAGCACUUUCGAUAGGAAAGAAAAAGCCAAAGGUAAUAUCUUUGGAAAUUGACGCUACCUAUAGAAGAAGCACUGGCUAACUCUGUGCCAGCCGCCGCGGUAA